UUUAAUGACAAAAGUAGCAGCCAGAGUUAUAAGUAUCUGGUUAUAUCUAGAAUUGAUCACAUUAAACAAAACACUAGUUGACUAAAAUCUAAACCUAAUUAACCAAACUCUAAACCUAAUAUCUCUGCUGCCGCCUCUCUCCUCUUUUGCCUCUUUGUUCUCGAUGUCUUCCUCUAUUCUGUCUCCAUCUCCGGCACCAUUGAUGACGACCAGGACGAAUUCGAGACCUGUGAUGACAGGGGCAAGCUCGAGACCGGUGACGAAGGGAGGAGACUUCUCCUCUGCUCACGACCACCACCUCUUGCUCAUGACCACCACCUUUACCAGCACUAAAUAUCAGAUUGUCAACAAAGAGAUAGAGAAAGAGAGAGAGAGAGACCACCACCUCUUGCUCACGACCACCACCUUUACCAGCACAAAAAAAAAUCAGAUUAAAAACAUUUCUUCUCUUCUCUGAAGAAAUCCUAGAACUACUUCACCAACGCUUUUGCUCCAGAUUCCAUUAAAUAACUCUGCAAUGGCUCACUCUUACUGCAAAUAAUGGGAAUUGUGCCUUUAUCUCACUGAAAAAUUCAAAGAAAUCCCCAAUUUCAUAGUUUGUGAUAACAAUGGAAGAAUAUCACAUCGAAGAAGGAGAUACUAAGUGUUUUAGGUUGGAAACAAUCUCUGAAAAAAACAAGGGAAACAAUAGACACGAGAAAGAUUUUGAAACUUUUAUACGAAAGGAGGAAGAGCAAACGCUUUUACCUCCAACUACCCAGAAAAAUUCAUACCUUAAGAAUUAUGGGAUUUUCGAUUUAUGAGUAGAUAGGAAGGUUUGGAAAAGUGUAAAAUAUCAACUUGGGUGACAUAUAAGAUUUCGUGUGAUUUUGGGUUACUAGAGAGAAAAUUAAAAAAAAAAAAAAAUUUAAAUUACAAAUCUAACAGGUGACAGGUUGCAAAUGCUCAGACAUGAACAAGGGUAAAAUGGUCAUCUAAUUCUCAGCUUUAUGCAUGAAAAACAUAAAUAGUGUAUUCAUCUAAUUAUCAUAUAAUUCUUGUGUGUAGAGUGCAAUUACUCUUAAAAAAAAUCAGAAAAAAGGGGAACGUCA
Molecule: long non-coding RNA, 1091 nt
Filed under: Brassica rapa (field mustard)
Lineage: Eukaryota; Viridiplantae; Streptophyta; Magnoliopsida; Brassicales; Brassicaceae
Description: long non-coding RNA (BRAP_LNC002035)
Source: RNAcentral